CCUACGGGUGGCAGCAGUAGGGAAUAUUGCACAAUGAGCGAAAGCCUGACGGAGCGACGCCGCGUGAGGGAUGAAGGUCUUCGGAUCGUAAACCGCUGUCAGCAGGGAAGAACGGUUACUGUGCUAAUCAAUAGUAGAUUGACGGUACCUUCUAAGGAAGCGCUGGCUAACUCCGUGCCAGCAGCCGCGGUAAUACAUAGGGUGCGAGCGUUAACCGGAAUUACUGGGCGUAAAGCGGUCGUAGGCGGUAUGUCAAGUCAAGGGUGAAAUCCCCGGGCUCAACUUGCGAACGGCCUUUGAAACUAGCAAACUAGAGUGAGUGAGAGGAUAGCGGAAUUCCAGGUGUAGGAGUGAAAUGCGUAGAUAUAUGGAGGAACAUCAGAGGCGAAGGCGACUAACUGGCACAUAACUGACGCUGAGGAGCGAAAGCGUGGGUAGCAAACAGGAUUAGAUACCCUAGUAGUC
This 465-nucleotide ribosomal RNA is filed under the name uncultured bacterium. RNAcentral's name for it is "partial 16S ribosomal RNA". It matches the Rfam family "Bacterial small subunit ribosomal RNA", at positions 338 to 795 of the family's 1533-position model. The record is from RNAcentral.